UUAAGCGACUAAGCGUACACGGUGGAUGCCCUGGCAGUCAGAGGCGAUGAAGGACGUGCUAAUCUGCGAUAAGCGUCGGUAAGGUGAUAUGAACCGUUAUAACCGGCGAUUUCCGAAUGGGGAAACCCAGUGUGAUUCGUCACACUAUCAUUAACUGAAUCCAUAGGUUAAUGAGGCGAACCGGGGGAACUGAAACAUCUAAGUACCCCGAGGAAAAGAAAUCAACCGAGAUUCCCCCAGUAGCGGCGAGCGAACGGGGAGCAGCCCAGAGCCUGAAUCAGUGUGUGUGUUAGUGGAAGCGUCUGGAAAGGCGCGCGAUACAGGGUGACAGCCCCGUACACAAAAAUGCACAUACUGUGAGCUCGAUGAGUAGGGCGGGACACGUGGUAUCCUGUCUGAAUAUGGGGGGACCAUCCUCCAAGGCUAAAUACUCCUGACUGACCGAUAGUGAACCAGUACCGUGAGGGAAAGGCGAAAAGAACCCCGGCGAGGGGAGUGAAAAAGAACCUGAAACCGUGUACGUACAAGCAGUGGGAGCACAGAGCAAUCUGUGUGACUGCGUACCUUUUGUAUAAUGGGUCAGCGACUUAUAUUCUGUAGCAAGGUUAACCGAAUAGGGGAGCCGAAGGGAAACCGAGUCUUAACUGGGCGUUAAGUUGCAGGGUAUAGACCCGAAACCCGGUGAUCUAGCCAUGGGCAGGUUGAAGGUUGGGUAACACUAACUGGAGGACCGAACCGACUAAUGUUGAAAAAUUAGCGGAUGACUUGUGGCUGGGGGUGAAAGGCCAAUCAAACCGGGAGAUAGCUGGUUCUCCCCGAAAGCUAUUUAGGUAGCGCCUCGUGAAUUCAUCUCCGGGGGUAGAGCACUGUUUCGGCAAGGGGGUCAUCCCGACUUACCAACCCGAUGCAAACUGCGAAUACCGGAGAAUGUUAUCACGGGAGACACACGGCGGGUGCUAACGUCCGUCGUGAAGAGGGAAACAACCCAGACCGCCAGCUAAGGUCCCAAAGUCAUGGUUAAGUGGGAAACGAUGUGGGAAGGCCCAGACAGCCAGGAUGUUGGCUUAGAAGCAGCCAUCAUUUAAAGAAAGCGUAAUAGCUCACUGGUCGAGUCGGCCUGCGCGGAAGAUGUAACGGGGCUAAACCAUGCACCGAAGCUGCGGCAGCGACGCUUAUGCGUUGUUGGGUAGGGGAGCGUUCUGUAAGCCUGUGAAGGUGUGCUGUGAGGCAUGCUGGAGGUAUCAGAAGUGCGAAUGCUGACAUAAGUAACGAUAAAGCGGGUGAAAAGCCCGCUCGCCGGAAGACCAAGGGUUCCUGUCCAACGUUAAUCGGGGCAGGGUGAGUCGACCCCUAAGGCGAGGCCGAAAGGCGUAGUCGAUGGGAAACAGGUUAAUAUUCCUGUACUUGGUGUUACUGCGAAGGGGGGACGGAGAAGGCUAUGUUGGCCGGGCGACGGUUGUCCCGGUUUAAGCGUGUAGGCUGGUUUUCCAGGCAAAUCCGGAAAAUCAAGGCUGAGGCGUGAUGACGAGGCACUACGGUGCUGAAGCAACAAAUGCCCUGCUUCCAGGAAAAGCCUCUAAGCAUCAGGUAACAUCAAAUCGUACCCCAAACCGACACAGGUGGUCAGGUAGAGAAUACCAAGGCGCUUGAGAGAACUCGGGUGAAGGAACUAGGCAAAAUGGUGCCGUAACUUCGGGAGAAGGCACGCUGAUAUGUAGGUGAAGUCCCUCGCGGAUGGAGCUGAAAUCAGUCGAAGAUACCAGCUGGCUGCAACUGUUUAUUAAAAACACAGCACUGUGCAAACACGAAAGUGGACGUAUACGGUGUGACGCCUGCCCGGUGCCGGAAGGUUAAUUGAUGGGGUUAGCGCAAGCGAAGCUCUUGAUCGAAGCCCCGGUAAACGGCGGCCGUAACUAUAACGGUCCUAAGGUAGCGAAAUUCCUUGUCGGGUAAGUUCCGACCUGCACGAAUGGCGUAAUGAUGGCCAGGCUGUCUCCACCCGAGACUCAGUGAAAUUGAACUCGCUGUGAAGAUGCAGUGUACCCGCGGCAAGACGGAAAGACCCCGUGAACCUUUACUAUAGCUUGACACUGAACAUUGAGCCUUGAUGUGUAGGAUAGGUGGGAGGCUUUGAAGUGUGGACGCCAGUCUGCAUGGAGCCGACCUUGAAAUACCACCCUUUAAUGUUUGAUGUUCUAACGUUGACCCGUAAUCCGGGUUGCGGACAGUGUCUGGUGGGUAGUUUGACUGGGGCGGUCUCCUCCUAAAGAGUAACGGAGGAGCACGAAGGUUGGCUAAUCCUGGUCGGACAUCAGGAGGUUAGUGCAAUGGCAUAAGCCAGCUUGACUGCGAGCGUGACGGCGCGAGCAGGUGCGAAAGCAGGUCAUAGUGAUCCGGUGGUUCUGAAUGGAAGGGCCAUCGCUCAACGGAUAAAAGGUACUCCGGGGAUAACAGGCUGAUACCGCCCAAGAGUUCAUAUCGACGGCGGUGUUUGGCACCUCGAUGUCGGCUCAUCACAUCCUGGGGCUGAAGUAGGUCCCAAGGGUAUGGCUGUUCGCCAUUUAAAGUGGUACGCGAGCUGGGUUUAGAACGUCGUGAGACAGUUCGGUCCCUAUCUGCCGUGGGCGCUGGAGAACUGAGGGGGGCUGCUCCUAGUACGAGAGGACCGGAGUGGACGCAUCACUGGUGUUCGGGUUGUCAUGCCAAUGGCACUGCCCGGUAGCUAAAUGCGGAAGAGAUAAGUGCUGAAAGCAUCUAAGCACGAAACUUGCCCCGAGAUGAGUUCUCCCUGACUCCUUGAGAGUCCUGAAGGAACGUUGAAGACGACGACGUUGAUAGGCCGGGUGUGUAAGCGCAGCGAUGCGUUGAGCUAACCGGUACUAAUGAACCGUGAGGCUUAACCUU
Molecule: ribosomal RNA, 2904 nt
Filed under: Escherichia coli
Lineage: Bacteria; Pseudomonadati; Pseudomonadota; Gammaproteobacteria; Enterobacterales; Enterobacteriaceae
Description: bacterial LSU rRNA
Rfam family: Bacterial large subunit ribosomal RNA
Source: RNAcentral